This 664-nucleotide long non-coding RNA is filed under the name Salvia miltiorrhiza (redroot sage). RNAcentral describes it as "long non-coding RNA (SMIL_LNC002239)". Lineage: Eukaryota; Viridiplantae; Streptophyta; Magnoliopsida; Lamiales; Lamiaceae. The record is from RNAcentral.
AGUGGUUUUGUGCGAGAGGAGGCAAUUUGUGUUGAAUUUCAGCCCGAAAAGGUGAUUCUCCUGUAUUGUUUGUAUAAAUUAUAGUUUGCAUGUUUAAUCGUACGUUGUUUUUAACGUUGAGAGCAUGUUUUACGUUAUUUUAAUGAAUGUCUUUAUUAUCUGAAAUUUAAAAGCAUGUUAGGGAAAUAUUAAACUUUUUUCUAAUAUAAUUGAAUGUUUUGAACCCAAAAAAUAAAGUAUCCGCCAGAAUAUCAUUAGAAAACGAUAAUAGCCGCCGACCCUACAAGGUCAGCGGCUACUGGUGUCGGAUAAUGAUUUACUGGCGGAUACUUCAUUUUUCGAGCUUAUUGUGAUGUUUUGAACUUUUUAAACGUAUUUUAAUACUGUAUUUUAUGUGGUUUUAUAGAUGGAAUUCGUGAGAUACAUAUAUGUGAGAUACAACGGAGUCGUCGAUGGUAUACACUAUGUUGGCGGGGCUACGGAGGUCCUUCCCCUCUUAAAUGAAACAGUUGCGAGCCUGAUAUACAGCAUCAACAAUGUGCUGACAAUGCAUUCGUUGAGCCCGAACUAUCAAUUGUAUUAUUUGGCGACCAAUCGAUUUGGAAGGGAGACGAAAUGCGUAAUAAGUGACGACGAUGAUGUGCAAGGCUUGUUGGAAACUGCC